GCACAAAGAUGGCGGCGCCCGACUGGAAGGGCCUCUUGCCCCUCACAGCGAUGGCGGCGUUCUCAUUCCGGCUUGGUGCCUGGCUCGAGUACGUCUGCGUGGUUUGCGGUGAGCGAGGCGAGGAGUCCCCCAUGGAACACCCGGAGCUGCAGGAGAACUGGGCCACCAUGAACGGACCCGGGGAGCCGACGCGCCCUUGCGCCCCUUGAGAGAAACGCCCGACCCCGAAGAGGCAACGAGGUCGAUGCCAGGACGCUGCUGGUGUUUCUGCUCUGCCAGGGGACUCUGAAUGGAUUUGCCAUGGUGACAUGAAAAAGACAGGGGGGAUACCCGACUGCCGGCUGGGAGAUCCUACACACGCACACGCAGCCUGCUAGUAUUUUAAUUUAUUACUGUGCUUUCCUGUGAAGGGGGUUGAG
Molecule: long non-coding RNA, 419 nt
Filed under: Terrapene triunguis (Three-toed box turtle)
Lineage: Eukaryota; Metazoa; Chordata; Testudines; Emydidae
Description: Terrapene carolina triunguis (Three-toed box turtle) lncRNA (ENSTMTG00000022217.1)
Source: RNAcentral